This 779-nucleotide ribosomal RNA is filed under the name uncultured Planctomycetota bacterium. RNAcentral describes it as "bacterial SSU rRNA". It matches the Rfam family "Bacterial small subunit ribosomal RNA", at positions 58 to 840 of the family's 1533-position model. Lineage: Bacteria; Pseudomonadati; Planctomycetota. The record is from RNAcentral.
CAAGUCGAACGAAUCCCAGCUUUGUAGCAAUACCGAGCUGGGGGAAGUGGCGAAAGGGGCAGUAAUGCGUGGGUAACCUACCUCGGGGACGUGGAUAGCCAUUCUAACGAGUGGGUAAUACGCGGCGAUUUGAUUGAGGGGCAUCCCUUGGUCAGGAAAUGAAUUUCGCCUCGAGAGGGGCUCACGUGAUAUUAGCUAGUUGGUGGGGUAACGGCCCACCAAGGCAAAGAUGUCUAGCGGGUGUGAGAGCACGACCCGCGCCACUGGCACUGAGACACUGGCCAGACACCUACGGGUGGCUGCAGUCGAGGAUCUUUGGCAAUGAGCGCAAGCUUGACCAAGCGACGCCGCGUGUGCGAUGAAGGCCUUCGGGUUGUAAAGCACUGUCGAGGGGGACGAAGCCGCAAGGUUGACCGAUCCCUGGAGGAAGCACGGGCUAAGUUCGUGCCAGCAGCCGCGGUAAGACGAACCGUGCGAACGUUGUUCGGAAUCACUGGGCUUAAAGGGCGCGUAGGCGGCUUGCCAAGUCAGUGGUGAAAUCCCGCAGCUUAACUGCGGAAGUGCCUUUGAUACUGGCGAGCUCGAGGGAGGUAGGGGUAUGUGGAACUUCUGGUGGAGCGGUGAAAUGCGUUGAUAUCAGAAGGAACGCCGGUGGCGAAAGCGACGUACUGGACCUCUUCUGACGCUGAGGCGCGAAAGCUAGGGGAGCAAACGGGAUUAGAUACCCCGGUAGUCCUAGCCCUAAACGAUGGGUACUAGGUUGUGGACUAACAUGGGUU